RNAcentral lists this ribosomal RNA (429 nucleotides) under Chloroflexota bacterium. RNAcentral's name for it is "Chloroflexi bacterium partial 16S ribosomal RNA". It matches the Rfam family "Bacterial small subunit ribosomal RNA", at positions 355 to 776 of the family's 1533-position model. Lineage: Bacteria; Bacillati; Chloroflexota. The record is from RNAcentral.
UGGGGAAUAUUGCACAAUGGGCGCAAGCCUGAUGCAGCCAUGCCGCGUGUAUGAAGAAGGCCUUCGGGUUGUAAAGUACUUUCAGUCGGGAGGAAGGUGGUAAGGUUAAUAACCUUAUCAAUUGACGUUACCGACAGAAGAAGCACCGGCUAACUCCGUGCCAGCAGCCUCGGUAAUACGGAGGGUGCAAGCGUUAAUCGGAAUUACUGGGCGUAAAGCGCACGCAGGCGGUUGAUUGAGUCAGAUGUGAAAUCCCCGGGCUUAACCCGGGAAAUGCGUCUGAUAGUGGUCAGCUAGAGUCUUGUAGAGGGGGGUAGAAUUCCAUGUGUAGCGGUGAAAUGCGUAGAGAUGUGGAGGAAUACCGGUGGCGAAGGCGGCCCCCUGGACAAAGACAGACGCUCAGGUGCGAAAGCGUGGGGAGCAAACAGG